Alligator sinensis (Chinese alligator) is the source of this 8976-nucleotide long non-coding RNA. RefSeq lists it as uncharacterized. The transcript is spliced from 7 exons. The record is from RefSeq and is a predicted model, not a curated record. Lineage: Eukaryota; Metazoa; Chordata; Crocodylia; Alligatoridae.
CGGUCCGCGCCGGGCUGUGUCCCCGGGGGGGGGGGCAGCAAGGUCGCGGCCUCUAGCGCUUCGUUGUGCGUGGGCGUGCAAAAAGGUGAGCGAGAGCAGGGUGAGGCACUUCAGUGGUGACCGCCACGUACGUUUCCUGGGAGAAGUGGGAUCCAAGUUAUGGUGAAAACUACUUAACCCCCCUCCCUCCCCCCCCCCCAACAGUCAAUUGAUAAUUGGUAGCAGAAGUGUCUCGAAGGCGAUCAAAAAGAUUUUUGCUCGUUUCCUACAGAUGGUCUCGUCUUCUAAACAGUAGAUCAGAGCCUGGACACCUGACUUCUUAUUUUGGCCCUGCUUCUGACUCCGUCUGACCCUUGGAUGGGUCAUUUUUAUUUACUUCUGCUGCAUGUUCCACUGAGACCAAAAUUAAGUAAAUUGGCAAAAGACAUAAAUAAAAAGUAAUGUUUGUAAAACAUUUUUAGGGUUCCUGGGUACGCGAGUGAAUUUUAGUUUAAAAGUAGCACGUCCUUUUCACGUGCAGGCAAAACUAGCUCUGUAAAAAAAAACAAAUGCACAAUUUUGGCCUGGAUUGAGUGUGAACAGUGGAGCUGAAAGCCUCUGGAAAGUCGCGUUUACCGUGGGAAUAAGUGUAACGGCCUUAAGUAGAGUUGUAUUGUAAAAAAAAUGUCUGAGUAAUAUAAAUAUUUUUCCUUCACUUUCAUCCAAAUGAAAGACUUGUGCAAUAAAGUUUAGCUUUGUUUUUGUUCGCUUGUAUAACAUUAAAAAAAUGCUUCUUAAAAUGAAUGAUACAUAUACAUCCUCUGUAGGUGAGAUCACACCAAUAUUUUGAAGAAAAUACACAUGGAAAUGUUUCCGUUUUUAUUUGUUUAUCUAUCUAGGAAUCAAUAUAUCUAUGGGGGGUGGACAAACUAAUAUAUAUAUAUAUAUAUAUUAGCUCCCCCCCCCAAUCCUCCAUAAGUUGAAAAUCGGAGUACAUAUUUAUGGAUUUGGCAUUGUUUCUCCCAGCAGAGAAAAAGCGCCCAAACACGAGAGCCACGCUUCACAACUGUUAAUGCAUUUCAGAUGAUUGUCGUGGGUAGAUACAGUUUUGUAAACAAACUGCAUUUUUGUGUCAUCACUGUAACGUGGUUUGUGCGGUAUUGAUCGCUUUUACAACAGAAGAGAAGACUUAAAAUAACAUAGACGUGAUUAUAUUGUUUAAAUUAAUAAAGACACAAUUUUGUUCUCUUCGUAAUGUGGAAAGAUAGUGUUUAUUUCAAGUGAUUACAAAAUACCACCUUAACAGGGCUAUUUCCUUAGGCAUUUCCCUGAAUAUGCUUGCCAGAUCCAUCUUAUGUUAGAUAUAUUGUUAUCAACCUCAAAGUAUUGCUUUCUUAUGAGUUUUAUGGGAUCUUGCAGGUUUAGAGAAACUAAGCAUGGGGAGUGACCAGAGUCCUUGUAUAGUAAUGAUAGGAAGUUGAGCCAAUAAUUAAUUUAUUUUCUGUGGGAAGGUGAAAAUACUCCAAAAUUUCUAUUGGUAUGCCAUUGUUUUCCAAAUACAGUGAACAGUUAAUACUGUGGGCGCAAGAGUCUUUGCUGAUAAACAUUUCACCUAGUGUGUAACCUGUGCCUCUACUUCAUCUGUAUGAUUGCCCAUAUUAUUGUAUUUUCCCUUAGCUACAGAGGAAUCUGUCAGUAACUACAUGGGCAGAGGAUAACAAAUACUAAUUAAUGUCUAAAAAUUGAUUCUAGCAGCCUGGUUUCCCCUGCUGUGCUCCAAAACUCUCGAGCGCACUCCUUGUUUCUUUAAUUUUGUGAAGUAUGUGUGCUUUCAGUUGCUGCUUAAACAAAAUAGAUCUUUACUGUGCCUGCAGCAGUGAGUUCAGGUCUCCUGGCCUCUUAAAAGUCCAGUGCUUAAAAUCUUUUGGAAGAAGAAAAAAGGGAAGGGGUAGGGAGGCGGAUGGCUGGAGGCUAGUGUUAAUGGCUUUCACCCUUGUGUCUAUCCUAGGUUACGCAGGAGUGAGAAAGAUUAGAUCUAGAUCCAAGCUUCAGGUUUGUUCUGAUUUGGUGCUUUGUCCAGAAUUGUGUUUUGUAAUAAAUAAAAUGACCUGAGUUAUAUUAGUCCUAAGACUCCUGGGACCUGCAGAUACAUGGUGGUAGUUGUACAUGAACAAUUCCCUUUGAUUUCAUUGCAAGUUGUUUACAAACACUGGCUGCAUAACCAGAUCUCUAGUAUUCCAAACUAUGUUAAAAAAAUUAUGUUUGGAGUAAUAGCUAAUAUAAACGGGGAAACUCAGACAAGAAGUGACAGAGGAGCUUGUUCACAGCAGUACAAACCAAGUUGUGUCGUGGCAAUUUUUUGCUAGUUCAAAGAAACAAGCAGCAUAGAAAUAUCCAUAUAAAAAUAACACUGCAACCGAUAAUGGACCAGCUUGUUGUUGUCUUCCAAACAACUAUUCAGUGCAUGAGCAGAAUCAUGGGCUGAAUCAAGAAAAAUGAGUGUACUCAUAGUGGAGAGCAUACUGAGCCCGAGUAGUGGAAUAGAAAGGAAUUGAGUCAGGAAAUUAAACUUUACUCUGAAAAGUCUAUGAAAAGGCUUUACUCUCUGCUAUAUAAAGAAAGCAAAAUGAAAAUCCAUCUAGUGCAAAAAUAAUAAAAUCUGAUACAAAUUUGGAGUCAUCUUGCGCACAAGAGUAACAGGAAGGAUCGUUUCAGGUCAGUCCUAUUUUUUAUUCUAUCACAGGCUUCCUAUUUACCCUUAGGGGAAAGUUAAGCUCUGUGCCUCAUUUUCCCCCAGAUGUGAAAUGGGAUAACAACUGCCCAGGGGAGUGGCAAAGAUAAUUCAGUAAUGCAUGUGGAGUAUUUUGAGACCAUGGGGUGGAAAGAUUUAUUAAUGCAAACUAUUAUUAAAUACAUGUAACCCCAAAACAACAGGUAAAACAGCUCUUUAAUGGUAGGGGCUAGCCAAGAAACUGCUUUUUGCAAUAUAAUGUGCAGAAAGUUUCCAUUUUACACCAAAGAUUGCAACAAAAAAGUUACUUCCUCAUAUUGCUUUUGCUAGUGUAUACUUGUGAUAAUGUUUCCUGUGAGCACAUGGCUCUGUAAAGUGUAUUAAGUGUACCUGGGUCUUCACAAUCUAACAAGAGUGCGAACUGAGGUUUAGCAAUCGCUUUACUGGGACAUGGGCACUGUACUGUUGGAUUUUGUGCAGGGUUUGCAGUACUUCUGCCACGCCUUGCCAAACCCGGAGCAAGGCGGUCUCUAACUCCAGUGUCAGAGCAUGAUUUGGUGUGCCUUGCAUAAUAGCAUCUCAGCUUGCCACCAGGAGAGAGAUCCAGUUUUCUGUUACUCAGCGAUGCUGGACUGAAUAUACAGCAUAAAGCGAUAGUGUCAUACAUACUAGCUUCUCAGUCUUAGGCUGCUCCCAUUCAUUCUCUUUAAUAUGCAACUCAUGCUGCCUCUGGCUGCUGUGUUAUGGGUCCCCCAAGUUUUUUAAUGUAGAUUGGAUGUUGCCUUUUUAUUUGUAUAUCAGGGAUAAUAAUGCAGGAACAUCUGACCUCAACAGGAAAAAGGAAGAAAUCGAGUACCAGCAAUUUUUUCCAAGCUCGAACAAUGCAUCGGUGAUCUACUGUAACCUGUAUGUCACUUCUCAAAUGGAGUCUAAAAUGUUGUUUGUCUAUAUGCAAAUAUACUUUAGUUUAUUUCUGCAGAACUGAUUAUUCUAAAUACAGUCUGUGUACUGCAGAUUUUACUUGGCAGAUGGAAGGUACAUUGCACUUUUUGUGCAGGGAUUUCUUAAGAAUAUUUAUUUGGUUUGUCCUAUAAUGUUUCUUUGGCAGUCAAGUCCGUCUUAACUAUUAGGUGCCAAAUACACAUAUGUCUUUGUUCUGAAAGAGUUGUUUUUUUAGCACAAAGGAUCAUGCAAUGAUUGUAGACCAGUCCCUUUUCUAUAGCAAAGAUCAUAGACCAAACAUUUUUCCAUACAAAAGUUAACAAGUAGUUUCUUUCUGUAGCCAAUUGUAGCUCAGCUUCUAGCGCAUCAUAUAUGUUUUUGUAGCUAGCUUCUAUUCAAAAAAAUGUUCUUCCUCUUGCUUUACAUACACCCAUCCUCUUAGUUUUGCCUGGGAUCCACGUUCAUAUUUCUUUGUUGAAAGUCAUGCAGUUAACAUUGCAAUGAUAAAAAAGUAGGAAGUAGUUUAAAUGCAAGAUGUUUAUUCAUAGAUUUAGUUAUUAAGUGUGUGAUAUCAGAAUAAUCUAUCACACUUUUAUUGGUGAUGUUAAAAAAAGAAAGCUUUAAGGACUACCACAAUUGUCCGGGAUAAUCUGCACAAACCAGUCGCACCAUUACACCCACUAGUUUCUGCAUCAGACCCAUCUCUUUUCUAUGAUACAUGGCAAUCUUUUAGAAAUAUAACUAGUCUGGGCUUAAAGACUUUGUGACAGAGACUUCAGGUCUUCCAAUCGUUUUAUUUUGCAUUUGAUUCAGCCUGAGGUAUGUUGAUUUAAUUCUUUAGCAUCCCUUGUCCAGAGCAGUUGUGUGGGGGAUUGCAGAAGAGCAAAAAAUGUUCAUAUUCUUAAAGAAAUAUUUCAAUCUAUUAAUAAAAAGGUACAUAUUUUCAAAGAAAACGUUUCUUUGUAAAACAUGAAAAAUUGUGUUGGGCAGUUAAGGGUAGAAUUCAGUCUGUUCUUGUAGUUAAAAUCAUCAUUUUGAGCAAAUUCAUUCUUCAGUAGUUGCCAGAUUUUUAUUUUAGCACUGCAUUUCCUCACGUCCAGAAGCUGCUACUGAGUUGUGUAUUUAACCUAUGCAAAAGACUGGCCAUUUAAGCACAUCAGCUUGUACCUCUAAUUUACCAAAAUUCCAAUGGUGUCAACAAAAUAGUGAAAACAAACCAAAAAAAAUCUGGCUCUGAUUUCUUUGGGCCGUUACAAAGUCUUUGUGAUAAACUCAAAUAGCCAAAUUUGAAUAUACAAAAUUAAGUUGGCAGUAAAAGGCUUGAGGAGCUUACUAGAAUUUGGUUCUUAAUGAAGACAACCGAAGAACUUGGGCAACAACGCAAAACUGGGUAAAUGAGGGGUAGGAAGUCUGAUUGCAUUCCUAGAACAGUUUUAAAGUUCACAGUUGCACAUAUUGAGGUCAACAAACAAAACGCAUUUUCUACAAUGAUUUGAAUGAAUGAAGUAUGGUUGUUUGAAAUUUUUUCCGUUGGCCAACACAGAAGCAGUGAACAUAGCCAAAACCUUAAUAUUUAACAAGCCCUGGACAAAAAGUGAUUACCAGUAUUUGCUGAUUUGAGUCCCACCCCUUCCGAAAAGAAUUGUAUGUUAUUUUUCACGCUUGAUUAGUUUUGAUCUAGCAGUUCUCAGGAAAGCAGGCUAGGAUCUUUAGUUUCCCUGAAAACAAGGGCCAUCACCCACAGAAAGAGAAAGUGACUGCACUAAACUUGCCUUAGUGGCUAUGAGGGCUUUCAAGUCUGACAGUUUAAGUAGUGAAGAUGAAAGUGAGGACAGUUCUUGGGCAGGGGACUGCAGGAGGAAUGCGAUUCAUAGGACAUAGUUACUACUGUAAUUACGAGUGCAGCUGCUAAAGUAACUUCUGCCAGUACUAAAAAAAUCAAUGUCAUGUCCAGUAAUCUGUUGCUUGCAGCGCAAGUGAUAAAGAUGGGAACAGAAGUAGCACAAUAUUUUUUUCCAGUUACCAGCUCUGGACUUGUGUACUGUACAGCUCUGUUUCCACCUGGUCUGAAAUGGAUGCCAACACUUUACUUUUGUAAAGUUUACAGGACUUUUAGGAGUUCAGAGUGGAACAAAACCAUGUGAUUAAAACUGACUGUUUUUUUUCUUAAACAGUAAAUUUGCCUCCCCUCCUCCCUCCCCCCCCCAAAAAAAAGGGGGGAAAAGAAGUGAUUUGUAAGUGACUGCAACUUUGUGAAGCCAGAUCCAAUUUAGUAAUUUAAUCUAAAAAAAAAUUAAAUGUGUCAAUUUCUAAAAACAACAUCAAUAUAUUUCAUUACAGUAUUUUAAAAUCAACUUUAAAGGGUUGUAAAAGAAGGUAAAUAUCCUUAAAAUCAAAUGAAACACAUCUCUUUAGGUUUCAGCCAAAAUUCCAAGAAACUUUCAGUUUGCCUCAAGCCAAAGCAUCUCUUACUUCCCCUGCGCUUAAUUUUCAUUUCACUCACAAACAAAAAAGCCCCCAUGUUUGCCCAGCUGUAUAUAACCUAAAAGUCAAAUUUUCCUAACUAAAAACAUAGCUAAGACUCUAUCUUUCAUAAUUAACACAGCAUUCAUCUGCAACUCUUAAGUGAAAUACCUGUUCUUACCCCUUGUUGAAGUGACUUGCAACAGGUCACAUAGUGGGUUAGUGUCAGGCAGCUCUAGGGUUUGGCAGCAGAAUCGAUUUCCAUAGUCGUGGAGUCUGCACCUGCAUUAGCAACCCAAGCGUCACCUGAGCAAUAACAGGAAUGACUUUGCUUUGCCACAUAAGCAAACAUUUGUGUUGCUUAAUGGUAGCGUGACGUUAAAAAAGCUGUUCUCCCUCAUUUUGUUCAUUCCUUUCUUCCUCCUCUUCAAAGGAGAUCACAUUUCAGUUUCUCUUAAGAAGAGUGAGAAUGAGUUACAAACUUUUGUUUUUCCCGGUCUUUGUUUCUAGAAGAUAAGGAAGAUGCAUCAUUCCUGUCAUUCAUUCUUUUCCGAUGGGGAGAUGUGUUUUGACGUACGUUCUGCCUUGGUACUUGAGCAAAGCCUUUGGUGGUGUGCUCUGUGAAAGGGAUACUCUAAAUGGAGAGUCAGCUGAAUAGAUACCUCUCAUGACACAUGGAUGGUCAACAUGAAGUUGCUUUUUACAUAGAUAGUUGGAAUUGCCUUCAAACGAACAAGCAGCCAGGAUCAGCUGACAUGAUCUUUCAGGCAUUCUGUGGAUACUAUUCAUGGUGCAUUCACACUUUGUGCAGAUUUGGAAAUGCCUGUCGCCAUCUCGUAUGGUCCUCAAGUCCCCGUGUUUGAGGGCAUGAAAGAAAAAGAGGUCAAGGAUUUGUUGGGGUUGGAGGCCACAUGACACAUCUUCUAUCGGUUGUAUGCCUAAUUAUGCAACUAAAGAGAUCCCUUCUUCAGGCAGUUGGGAAGAAAAGGACUGGCGAGAAAAGCUAAUUUCAUAGACGUGCUGAAAUCCCGACUAGUGCUUGAACAAGAAGAAUUUUAAGAGAACAACUGGAGUGGCAUUGUUCUGCAUUUGGAUAUCCUCAGACUGAGCUUAUGGCCUCUUGCUUGCAGAAGGGGCAGCAAGCGCGAAUCAGGCUAUAAUACACGCAGGACAAACGUGGUUUGAAGACACCAUCUUUUGAUGACGUAGUAGGCUCUGAAGGUGAUUCUGGGGCAGCAUCUAGGAAAGAGCCUAUACGUGCUGAGUAAAUGAGGUCCAGGAGCUCUGCAAAUAACCCCCACAGAAGCCUGAGACACGACUGCUGAAUAAUCAGGAGCGUCGCAGAGGUAUAAGAACCACACAACGGAGGACCACAACUAGCUACAAGCCAACCUUUAAACGGGGAAGUGAUGUCCAGUCAGGAUGACCUUAGAGCAGUAGAGGCGCACAGUGAAACGGAAAAGGACAACGCAGGCACCCAGCAAAGCAGUGCAGGAUACCAGCGGGCAGUACAGAUAUGCGUGGGACUAUAAGAUAUACAGUAAUGCACAUUCAUAUCCUGAAGAGCUUCCAGUUAAGAGGAAACAGAAAAGGGAUGGGAAAAAAGAGCUCGGGACCAGGAAUGUGUUGAUAGGAGAACAAACGGUGAAGGAGUCCAUGAAAGAAGUGUCUUAAAAAAGAGGUUUGAAAGGGAGCUGGCUGGAGUUUGGUCCAAGUCCCGGGGGUAGUGUGCACUAUAGUGAAAUGCCCCUGUGGCGUGAUAUAAUGACCAGUCAUCGCCAGAUGUGGUUGUUUGAAAUGCCUUCACAUCAUCGUCAUGGAGUGGUUCUGCUCUCCUUGACUGCGUGAGCUUGGAACUCGGGCACAGCGUUGUCCAACAGGGCUGUCCAAAUGCUCUGAGUUGGUACAGAGUUAUAGAUCACCCUAAAUCACCUUUCAAGAAAGCAUCCUGAAGAAGAAUCUGAUCCAUCUGCUACCAUCUGUAAGUUGGAGCUUGUUCUGAUGCCGUGCCCAUCACCAUCGGAGCUGCGCACCCAGCAGGUGAAGAUGGAGAAAUUCAGAAGAGUUUGGGAUGUCUGUGUUUCGUCUCUGUGUGGCGGUCUUGCUGCUCUCCAGAAGCAAGCAGCAUAUAAGCAGAAAAAUGUCAGAACCCAUCUUUGGAUGGGGAAGAGGAAACAGUUUAGAAGGUAAAGCCACCCAGGGUGACAAGUAGGUACACUACCCUACCCUAUUUUUCUAUGAUGCUAGCCCUCCAACAACUAUUCCAUUGGAGACAGGAAAGCUGACUUGCUGACAGUAUGCUGAAAGUCAAGCUUUUUCUACUGGGUUGGCAGCUCUAUAUAAUGAGUUUGUUUUACUCUGCCACCAUCUAUAAGUUGGAAGACUCCAGGUAGAAAUUAAGGUGCAAAAGGUAGUUGAAAUUGGAUGGUCAGUUUAAUCUCUGAAUGAUUCUCAUUGCAAAGUAGUUUUCAUUCCUUUUCUAAAAAAUUCUGCAUUUUGACUCAGCUGAAGGACACGUACGUUCAAGUCUUCUUGUUCAACUCAUCAGUGAGCAAAAAUAUAAUUUUGAGAGGAAGGCAAUAAACUUCCAGAAUUUCCCCCCCCCAAAAUUUAUUCUUUCUUUGACUUCAGUUUUUGGUACUCAAAACCUCUCAGAAUAAAGACCUGUCUUAUUUCUUAUUUUAGGCUCUAAUCUCAGAUAUGCUAUUACUGGUAAGAAAAGAAAAGAAAGCAAGUGUGUCAAUCAGAAAAUGUUAAUUUGUUCAAAUUGAAAUGUUUUGUUAGAAUGUGUUGACUUCAACAAAAUGUGAUGGAAAUACUUCAAGAUUAUUCCAAAUUAAAAUGAAGUACUCUGCUUCACC